RNAcentral lists this ribosomal RNA (253 nucleotides) under uncultured bacterium. Its description in RNAcentral is "partial 16S ribosomal RNA". It matches the Rfam family "Bacterial small subunit ribosomal RNA", at positions 524 to 776 of the family's 1533-position model. The record is from RNAcentral.
AACGUAGGAGGCGAGCGUUAUCCGGAGUUACUGGGCGUAAAGCGCGUGCAGGCGGCUGGGUAAGUGGGUCGUGAAAGCCCCCGGCUAAACUGGGGGAGGACGAUUCAGACUGCCUGGCUAGAGUGGGGUAGAGGGACGUGGAAUUCCGGGUGUAGCGGUGAAAUGUGCAGAGAUCCGGAGGAACACCAGCGGUGCAGACGGCGUCCUGGGCCCUAACUGACGCUAAGACGCGAAAGCGUGGGGAGCGAACGGG